UCACCUGCCUUAGCCUUCCAAAGUUCUGGGAUUAUGGGCAAGAGCCACCACGCCCGGCCAACUUUAAUUUGAAAUAGGUUAAAUUCUUCCAACAAAAAGGCAGAGAUUGGCAGAAUGGAUUUAAAAAAAAAAAGCUCAUGCAAAAAAUUAAGUCACAUUCACAGAGUUCAGUGGAUCUUAAGAAUAAACCAAAGCUGAGGCCGCUGGGAACCAAGGCGGCGGCAGAGGCGGGGAUCUCGCGGCUGCGGCGAAGGUGGCCGCAGUGGAGCCACGGGGCGGGCUCGGCUUGGUGUGACGGCGGCUGCGGCGGCGGUGGCGGCCGCGACCAGGUCGGCGUCCUAGGCUGGCCGAGCAUGGUGGCAGCCUGCACCCUUGGCUCCCUCGUCUGGUGCAGCCAGCAGAGCUGCCAGCCUUGGGCACCCAUGGCCCUCCGUGUGAGGGCGUGAGCGGCCUGCCCCAGCCUCACCUGCUGAUGGAGGACUCAAUGGCCCAGUGACCGGACACCACACCACCAACUCCCUCCCACCAGUUGAUGAGUGGUGGACCCAGCGACGAGUGGCCCUUGUAAGGGUCAUGGAAUAAUUUGAAGCGAGGAAUGAGCGGCCCCCGUGGUCGCCUGUGACUGCUGGAGAUAGAGGUCCCAGCACCCCAAGCCAACCCAGCGGACCCUCCCAGCCCUGCUCCAGCCAAUGGGGCCAGUGGGGCUCCAAGCAGCCACCUAACCAUCCAGACCCCACCACACCCACGCGGCCAUGGCGGGCCCUGAGGGCUUCCAGUACCACGCUCUGUACCCGUUCUGCCGGGAGCGGCCGGAGGACCUGGAGCUGCUGCCCCGCGACGUGCUGGUAGUGAGCCGGGCGGCCUUGCAGGCACUGGGCGUGGCCAAGGGUGGUGAGCGCUGUCCACAGAGCGUGGGCUGGAUGCCCGGUCUCAACGAGCGCACACGGCAGCGAGGUGACUUCCCUGGCACCUACGUGGAGUUCCUGGGGCCCGUGGCCCUGGCCUGGCCCUCGCCCACGGGGCCCCCGCCCACUGCCCGCCAGGCCCCGUGAUGGGGCCCCUGAGCCAGGCCUCACACUCCCCGACUUGCCCGAGCAGUUCUCCCCACCUGAUGUGGCUCCCCCUCUUCUGGUGAAGCUUGUGGAAGCCAUUGAAAAGACAGGGCUGGACAGCGAAUCUCACUACCGGCCGGAGCUGCCCACACCGCGUACAGACUGGUCCCUGAGCGACGUAGAUCAGUGGGACGUGGCAGCCCUGGCUGACGGCAUGAAGAGCUUCCUGCUGGCACUGCCCGCGCCACUCGUGACCCCCCGAGGCCUUAGCCGAGGCGCGCCAGGCCCUGCACUGGAGCCACCGACGCUGCCGCUGCACCGCGCGCUCACGCUGCGCUUCCUGUUCCAGCACCUGGGCCGAGUGGCCCGCCGCGACCCGGCUCUGGGCGCCACCUUCGGGCUGCUGCUGCUGCUGCGCGCACCGCCGCGGUCCUCGCCGCCGCCAGGGGGAGCUCCCGACGGGAGCGAGCCUAGCCCUGACUUCCCGGCGCUGCUGGUGGAGAAGCUGCUUCAGGAACACUUGGAAGAGCAGGAGGUUGCGCCCCCAGCGCUGCCGCCUAAACCCUCCAAGGCAAAGCCGGCCCCCACAGGCCUGGCCAAUGGAAGGAGCCUACCCUCCCUGAAAGAUGCUGAGUGGUACUGGGGGGACAUUUCAAGGGAGGAGAUGAACGAGAAACUCCGGGACACUCCCGAUGGCACCUUCCUAGUCCGAGAUGCUUCUAGCAAGAUCCAGGGCAAGUACACGCUGACCCUCAGGAAAGGCGGGAACAAUAAGCUGAUCCAGGUCUUCCACCGAGAGGGGCACUAUGCCUUCUCAGAGCCACUCAUCUUCUGCUCCAUCGUGGACCUCAUCAAUCACUACCGCCACGAGUCGCUGGCCCAGUACAAGCCAAGCUGGACACACGGCUCCUCUACCCUGUGUCCAAAUACCAGCAGGACCAGAUUGUCAAGGAGGAUAGCGUGGAGGCGGUGGGUGCCCAGCUCAAGGUCUAUCACCAGCAGUACCAGGACAAGAGCCGCGAAUAUGACCAGCUCUAUGAAGAGGACACACGGACUUCGCAGGGCCUUUUGGGGAGUCCCAGGAGGUGCUGAGCUGCGCCCCCUCCAGGAGCUGCAGAUAACGCCUACCGCAAUUGAGGC
Molecule: RNA transcript, 2192 nt
Organism: Nomascus leucogenys (northern white-cheeked gibbon)
Lineage: Eukaryota; Metazoa; Chordata; Mammalia; Primates; Hylobatidae
Gene name: phosphatidylinositol 3-kinase regulatory subunit beta pseudogene
Exons: 1
Source: RefSeq, a predicted model, not a curated record